Molecule: small nuclear RNA, 194 nt
Filed under: Babesia microti strain RI
Lineage: Eukaryota; Apicomplexa; Aconoidasida; Piroplasmida; Babesiidae
Description: U2 spliceosomal RNA
Rfam family: U2 spliceosomal RNA
About the family: U2 is a small nuclear RNA (snRNA) component of the spliceosome (involved in pre-mRNA splicing). Complementary binding between U2 snRNA (in an area lying towards the 5' end but 3' to hairpin I) and the branchpoint sequence (BPS) of the intron results the bulging out of an unpaired adenosine, on the BPS, which initiates a nucleophilic attack at the intronic 5' splice site, thus starting the first of two transesterification reactions that mediate splicing.
Source: Rfam by way of RNAcentral
AUACCUUCUCGGCCUCUUGGCUAAGAUCAAUUUGUAGUACCUGUUCUUAUCAGCGUGAUAGCUGAUACGGGUCCUAUUGGGCCCUAUCUUAUCACGACAAUUUUUCGCAGGGGAGAUCUCUCCUUCGGGCUUGCCCUGGAGUUUUCUCGCGCGUUGCCUCCCCUUGCACUUCCGGGAUGAGCGGUGCCCCCGUC